RNAcentral lists this ribosomal RNA (251 nucleotides) under uncultured bacterium. RNAcentral's name for it is "partial 16S ribosomal RNA". It matches the Rfam family "Bacterial small subunit ribosomal RNA", at positions 102 to 339 of the family's 1533-position model. The record is from RNAcentral.
AAGGGUGAGGAACACGUGGGUUAUUUGCCCCUGAGUCUGGGAUAACCCCCCGAAAGGGGAGCUAAUACCGGAUAAGCUCACAGAGGCUUCGGCCUCAGGGAGAGAAGGAGGGGAUCUUCGGACCUUCCAUUCAGGGAUAAGCCUGCGCCCUAUUAGCUAGUUGGUGAGGUAAUGGCUCACCAAGGCAAUGAUGGGUAGCCGCGCUGAGAGGCUGACCGGCCACAUUGGGACUGAGACACUGCCCAAACUCC